This 356-nucleotide long non-coding RNA is filed under the name Nicotiana benthamiana. Its description in RNAcentral is "long non-coding RNA (NBEN_LNC014659)". Lineage: Eukaryota; Viridiplantae; Streptophyta; Magnoliopsida; Solanales; Solanaceae. The record is from RNAcentral.
CUCUCUGGCCUAUCAUUUGUUGGUCGAUCCGGCUGGCGGCUCCUGCAUCUCCUGCCUCUCUAUGGGGGCCCCUUUUUUUAGACUAGUUUGCUGCUAGGAGUCCCUAGAGUCGAAUUAAUAAUCAAUAGAAGUCCCAAUAGAAGUUUACUGACCUGGCUCUUCAAUCGACGAUCUACUGCUCCCUCUUAAUAGCAGAUGCCCAUGCUUUGAUUCGAAAGCCCUAGCCAGUGAUGAAUCCCCAGGUAUUCAGUGUCUGGUUCGAUAGGACCAGGAAGAGAGGACUCUUUUUUUCCUCCUCCCUUCAGUCCAGUUUGAACCCGUCCCAACAACGAACACCUUCCUACUGCAAGGUGAGA